Molecule: ribosomal RNA, 628 nt
Filed under: uncultured bacterium
Lineage: Bacteria
Description: bacterial SSU rRNA
Rfam family: Bacterial small subunit ribosomal RNA
Source: RNAcentral
AUUCGCUGAGGGAUGGGCCUGCGGCCUAUCAGGUAGUUGGUGGGGUAAAGGCCUACCAAGCCUGCGACGGGUAGCCGGACUGAGAGGUCGACCGGCCACACUGGAACUGAGACACGGUCCAGACUCCUACGGGAGGCAGCAGUGGGGAAUAUUGCACAAUGGGGGAAACCCUGAUGCAGCGACGCCGCGUGGAGGAUGACGGCCUUCGGGUUGUAAACUCCUUUUGUCAGGGACAAUGGUGAUGGUACCUGACGAAUAAGCCACGGCUAACUCUGUGCCAGCAGCCGCGGUAAGACAGAGGUGGCGAGCGUUGUUCGGAAUUACUGGGCUUAAAGGGCGCGUAGGCGGUGGUGUAAGUCUGGGGUGGAAUGCUACAGCUCAACUGUAGAGCUGCCUUGGAAACUGCAUUACUUGAGUCGGUGAGGGGAAGGCGGAAUUCCUGGUGUAGCGGUGAAAUGCGUAGAUAUCAGGAGGAAGGUCUGUGGCGAAGGCGGCCUUCUGGCACUUGACUGACGCUGAGGCGCGAAAGCGUGGGGAGCAAACAGGAUUAGAUACCCUGGUAGUCCACGCCCUAAACGGUGGGUAUUAGGUGUGGGGCCUUCAUGGGUUCCGUGCCGUAGCGAAAGCA